GACGGGGGGUGCGAGCGUUAAUCGGAUUUAUUGGGUGUAAAGGGGGCCUAGGCGGUCAAGUUAGUCAGAGGUGAAAGCUCCACGGCUCACCCGGGAAAUUGCCUUUGAUACUGCUUGACUCGAGUUCGGAGGAGGGAUGCGGAAUUCCGUGUGUAGCGGUGAAAUGCGUAGAUAUACGGAGGAACACCAGUGGCGAAGGCGGCAUCCUGGGCCGAUACUGACGCUGAAGCCCGAAAGCGUGGGGAGCGAACGGG
This 254-nucleotide ribosomal RNA is filed under the name uncultured bacterium. RNAcentral's name for it is "partial 16S ribosomal RNA". It matches the Rfam family "Bacterial small subunit ribosomal RNA", at positions 524 to 776 of the family's 1533-position model. The record is from RNAcentral.